Molecule: ribosomal RNA, 506 nt
Filed under: uncultured bacterium
Lineage: Bacteria
Description: partial 16S ribosomal RNA
Rfam family: Bacterial small subunit ribosomal RNA
Source: RNAcentral
AGUGGACGCUGGCGGUAGGCCUAACACAUGCAAGUCGAACGGCAGCACAGAGGAGCUUGCUCCUUGGGUGGCGAGUGGCGGACGGGUGAGGAAUACAUCGGAAUCUACUCUGUCGUGGGGGAUAACGUAGGGAAACUUACGCUAAUACCGCAUACGACCUACGGGUGAAAGCAGGGGAUCUUCGGACCUUGCGCGAUUGAAUGAGCCGAUGUCGGAUUAGCUAGUUGGCGGGGUAAAGGCCCACCAAGGCGACGAUCCGUAGCUGGUCUGAGAGGAGGAUCAGCCACACUGGAACUGAGACACGGUCCAGACUCCUACGGGAGGCAGCAGUGGGGAAUAUUGGACAAUGGGCGCAAGCCUGAUCCAGCCAUACCGCGUGGGUGAAGAAGGCCUUCGGGUUGUAAAGCCCUUUUGUUGGGAAAGAAAUCCAUCUGGUUAAUACCCGGGUGGGAUGACGGUACCCAAAGAAUAAGCACCGGCUAACUUCGUGCCAGCCGCCGCGGUAA